UGGUAGUGUAUUGGACUACCAUGGCUUUCACGGGUAACGGAGGAUUAGGGUUCGAUUCCGGAGAGGGAGCCUGAGAAACGGCUACCACAUCUAAGGAAGGCAGCAGGCGCGUAAAUUACCCAAUCCUGACUCAGGGAGGUAGUGACAAGAAAUAACGGACCGGAGCCUAUGUUCCGGGAUUGCAAUGAGUAGAAUUUAAACCCCUUUACGAGGAUCAAUUGGAGGGCAAGUCUGGUGCCAGCAGCCGCGGUAAUUCCAGCUCCAAUAGCGUAUAUUAAAGUUGUUGCAGUUAAAAAGCUUGUAGUUGGAUUUCUGAGGGGGUGCCAAUGUCCGCUCGUUGCGUGUGCAGCGGCGCCCCCUCAUCCUUCUGUUAACGUUUCUGAUAUUCACUUAUUGGUCUCGGGCUCAGAUAUUUUACCUUGAGAAAAUUAGAGUGUUCCAGGCAGGCUCGCGCCGGAAUACAUUAGCAUGGAAUAAUAGAAUAGGACUUUAGUCUCCUUUGUUGGUUUGAGGGACUGAAGUAAUGAUUAAUAGGGAUAGUUGGGGGCAUUAGUAUUUAAUUGUCAGAGGUGAAAUUCUCGGAUUUGUUAAAGACUAACUUAUGCGAAAGCAUUUGCCAAGGAUG
Molecule: ribosomal RNA, 625 nt
Filed under: uncultured ciliate
Lineage: Eukaryota; Ciliophora
Description: SSU rRNA
Rfam family: Eukaryotic small subunit ribosomal RNA
Source: RNAcentral